CUAUAUAAUAGUUUUGUUUGUGGAAACACCACGUAAAUUUAUAUUACUGCACUAAUAAAUUUACGUGGUGUUUCCACAAACAAAACUAUUAUAUGUUU
This is a non-coding RNA of Paramuricea clavata, 98 nucleotides long. Lineage: Eukaryota; Metazoa; Cnidaria; Anthozoa; Malacalcyonacea; Plexauridae. The record is from the annotation of a GenBank genome assembly.